GAGCUCUCUUCAAAAUGGACAGGAAGGGCUACAGUUUGUUCAAGAGAUAGCUCAGGAGCUGCGAGAACUGCGAAAAAUUGGCGCAGCUUUCAGAAAUCCGUCCGCUCCCUAACUUCGAAUGGAGAUUUCCACGGUACAGUCGAGCAUUUUGGUGCAAAAGUGUAGAAAUCAGUUGCAUUCCUUCAGUCACCCACAAUCGUAAACAAUCAAAAUGAUUUCAUGUACAGGUACCAGCCGGCCAAAACUCUUGGAAGGAAAAACC
Malus domestica (apple) is the source of this 262-nucleotide non-coding RNA. The record is from RefSeq and is a predicted model, not a curated record. Lineage: Eukaryota; Viridiplantae; Streptophyta; Magnoliopsida; Rosales; Rosaceae.